Long non-coding RNA from Cydia splendana, 776 nucleotides. RefSeq lists it as uncharacterized. The transcript is spliced from 3 exons. The record is from RefSeq and is a predicted model, not a curated record. Lineage: Eukaryota; Metazoa; Arthropoda; Insecta; Lepidoptera; Tortricidae.
ACUUCACAUCGAUGGCGAAUUCAAGGUUUUCUAAGGGCGAUCGAACUGUAAAAUGCUACGAGAGAGUCCAAAUCCUUUUGACCUCCUCCCCGUGCGAGAAAAGGAGGCGCGGGCGGUUUAUUCACCCUUAUUUCGUGAGUUGUCGCAGAUAAUCGGAGAGGUUCGGGAGGCUGCGUCAUAGAGCGCGCGCGCGAACCCGGGCGCUUCGUCAUUGCGACGGAGGUUGUCGUGUGUCGGCACUGGUCCGUGCAAGCGCUCGCUCCGUACCGCACCGCCGCGCCUCGUUUCCGUGCGACCGUCGUCCCGCGAGACGUGAGUCGCGACCUCGGUCCACUGUCCGUCCGCGCCCGGCAGGGGUCUCUGGCUUGUAUACCGGUCAUCUUCAACGAGUCCGCGCCGACCAGCACCGUCAGAACUUAGGUACCGGUGCGGGUAUCCGCGCAGUGCAUGUGCUCGUGUAGUCCUUAGCUCUGUGACCACGCUCCCCGGGACCGACGAUUGUGGCGCGAUGUAAAGAAGCCGCGACCGCGAAUCAUGUGCGCAAGACGGUGAGCGGGAGUUGGCGGGGGAGAUGUCAGCGCCGGUGGCGGCCAGCUGAUAGCAUGCGGGCGGCGCGCGCGCCCGCCCCGACCUAGCCGGACACACCACGACCGCCACGUUCACGGGUGCGCUGGAGGAGGGCGCGCUGGGCGGCGGCGGCGGCGGCGGCGCGCUCGGCGCGCUGCGUGCGGCCGGCUCGCCGCCCGCGCACUGCCUCGGUGCCAGCCGGCACAGUC